RNAcentral lists this transfer-messenger RNA (370 nucleotides) under Burkholderiales. Its description in RNAcentral is "Kinneretia sp015624425 Standard tmRNA". It matches the Rfam family "transfer-messenger RNA". Rfam says of the family: Bacterial tmRNA, also known as 10Sa RNA or SsrA, is named for its dual tRNA and mRNA-like properties. The record is from RNAcentral. Lineage: Bacteria; Pseudomonadati; Pseudomonadota; Betaproteobacteria. RNAcentral also lists the same sequence under 1 other name.
GGGGCCGACCAGGUUUCGACGUGGGUGCGGAUCCGGAGUAGGGCAUGCCGAGCACCAGUCCGCUCGUAAAACCACUGGAAACAAAGUAACUGCAAACGACGAAAAGUUUGCCCUCGCCGCUUAAACAACGGUGAGCCUCUCAACGGUUGGCCGAUGGGCCGGGCCGAUGCCGCAAGGCUAGGCUGAGAGGUCAUUCACAUCGGCUGGCGUCCAGUUGGGUCACACAACCGGGCGCGAGAUCUAGUGACUGGCGUUGUUCGUAGCGUGCCCCUGCGCGACGACGGCGUAAGACUCAAAUCAGAAGGCUAAGCAUGUAGAACUGCCCGGUGAUGGCUUGCGGACGGGGGUUCAAUUCCCCCCGGCUCCACCA